Molecule: long non-coding RNA, 2939 nt
Organism: Belonocnema kinseyi
Lineage: Eukaryota; Metazoa; Arthropoda; Insecta; Hymenoptera; Cynipidae
Exons: 5
Source: RefSeq, a predicted model, not a curated record
UAAUAUAUAAGUGUUAUGAGAUUUCUAGAGUAUUUAAUCAUUAAUGUUUUAGAAUAGUUCUGAAUUUUCUAAAUUAUUCUGCGAUUAUUGCUUAUUCUACAAUUUAGCAGAAUAAAAUAUUCUAGAAUGUUUUAGAGUUUCCAGACAAUGUAUGUUCUUCAUUUAUAAGUGUUUCUUUCCCUGAUAUUGGCAUCCGUUUGAAACCAGAAGGAGUACAAAGUGUUACAGUUUCACAUGCCGCUUUAAAAAGGGUAAAAUUGGCGCUAGUGCAGGUACUUAAAGAGGUCCAUUGAUGACUCAACCUAUCAAUGAGUCUUUUACGACCUGAGUGAAAUGAUCGACAAGAUAUAUGAGUGGUUCCCUCCGAGGAACCCUGAUUUAAAUUUCUCUCUCCAGUUUAACAAGCUUAAACUCAAGUUUUCCAGGAACGACGACAUCAAAGGAUAAGACACGAAUUUCGAAUUCAAAGCUUGCGCCUUGCAAGGAUCCCACACAUCGCCAAUUUUGUGUUUGUAGGACUUGAAAGAAGCCGAUCAAAAAAUUAAGGGUCCGAAUCUCUAAGGGGGGUCUCAUCCGUGACCGGAUGGAGCUGGCCGAAACAGAAUUGUUGCGGCUCCACUUAAGAUGGAAAUUCUGUUGCGACAUCGUUGGUAACAUAUUACAAAGAGCGCCGAUGUGAGGUCGCCGGGUGCGCAACCUGGACACCCGGGGUAAAGCGGGAACGCCGGCGUUAAAAGAAAUUUUUGGUUUCCAGCAUUCUUACUACCUGAAAUUGUCAUUAAGCCAGUCGGAGUAGACCGAAAUGAAGGAGCGGCAAGGUGAGGAAGUGGAGUGGGGAGAACUAAAACUGAACCGUGUGGGACGGAAGAAAAAAGGUCGACGAGUUAUAUUGCCUGGAGAUGAUGCUCGACGAGAGCUAGAGAGCGAGUUUAUCUGUUGGAAUAAAGCCAUUACCUGGAUAGUACAUGGUCAUCCUGGAUCCUGGGGAAGAAUGGUGGGCGGGUUGGCUGGAGCGAGGGGGGUCCCUCGGACCCACUCGGACCCAGUAUGGAGAAUGGACCAUGGACGGUAGUGGAUGAACGGCAUGGGACACGAGCUACGAGCUGCCUGCUGGACCCACUAGACCCACAUGUGUUAUAAGGCAUGGGGUCUGCAUCUCUAGAUUUAAUCGGCGUUUUCGGAAUUUAUUACUACAAGGAAGAUAUUGUCUUGAGAAAUGAUCUUCUUGGAAGUGGAUUUGCCGGGAUUCGAGUUCAAAGGAUUUGAUGAAUGGACGAGGUGAAUUUCGUCGAUAUCUGACAAAUAAGAGCGGUAGGUAUUUAAUUCUGAUGGUGAAUCCGAAGAUGUGAGGGACUAAAAAAUGAAGAAUUGAAUAAUUGAAGAUAAAGUGGUGUGGAGGCUGAGACACCCUGUAUACUUUUCUCCCUUGCGUGUGCGUGUGGAGACAAGUACGAACGUGUUAGAGGGAAGCAUGGGAGCAUGGGGAACCACCGCGAACCGCAUUCUCUACCUGUGUGGUAAAACGCUCACUCAGGACCCCAAGGGGGAUUCUAAAACAAAGACUACUCAACUAUACGGCGCGUUGUUCUAACAUCACCCUCAUUAUGAAACAAUUUCCACGUCCCCUUUUUCGGCCGAAGACGCUUAAGAAGCACCGCCACUCCUUCAGCUUCACCAAUUUCACUAUCAUCCGAUCCAGCCCUAUUAGCCAAUUGUCAUGCGGUUUGCUCUUCCCCAUAAUGAGGAGGUCGACAGGUGCUUUGGUGCUUUCGUGUUAUUAGCUAUGUUCUUACAGCUUAAUAUAACGAUAAUUAAUACGCUCAUUAACCACGUGGCAAAUAGAGAAUUUUCAUGCAUUUUUUUAUACUUUCUUAUUUAAAUAUUUAUGUUUCAAGCAUCUGUUAAGAAGACAUGUUUUUUCAUUUUAAGUGUUUAUUACUUAAUUAAACUUGGUUUAAAUUCAAAAGGCCGACCUAUAAUACUUUUUUUUUAAUGGAUUGCCAACAUAAUUAAUCACCUUAACGUCCUUAACUCACUUAAUCAUCAGUUAAAUUAGCUUCGUCGAGUGCUAAGGGGAAAAGAAUGAACCAAUCCCCAACCGCCCAAAUGCAUAGAACAAUAAACCUUAUUUUGUUAAUAUAUCUUCGUCGGGAAUAAUUUUUUUCUACAAGUGUAUUUGGAAAUUAGUUUUAAUUUUUCAAGAACUAUUUAAGGCAGUAAUGAAAUGAUAAUUAUUAUUAUUUUCACGAAGAUAUGACAAAAAUAAAGUAUAUUCCCAUAAACUUGGUGCUAUUGUUUUACCUUAAAACUCGAUGAAGUGAAGUUACCUGCGAAUUUUACGUGUGCAUAGAAAAUUUAUUAUAUUUUUAAGUGAUCUUCUCACAAUAUAAUUACAUAAUCCGUAUUAAAGAUUAGAUGUAUUGUUUACACAGAUUAAAUUGUGAAUAACCAAUAUUGCUUUGUAUCCGAAUGCAGAUUGAAAAAGUUUGACAUUAAUGAUGAUACAUUUUGACCAAAAGAAGGUCAUUUUUCGGGAGAGCGAAAUAAAAUUCUGUAAGAUCGAAAUCACCAUUUAAAGAUCAAACAAAAGUUUCCCUCGAACUUGGGCGUUUCUGAUUAUAGGACAAAAAAGUAUGAUCAAAAAAAGUUUUCCAUUUCCACGAAAUCGAAUGUGGAAGUUUACAAUCUCUAAAGUGACAGGAACCUAAAAUUGGAACAGCCUCGGUUGCGAAUCAAGAUAAGAAGUGCAAUUUUCAGUUUAAAAAAUAAGAACUGCCUCCCGAGGUACUGAGUUGCUGAAUUGAGAGAAAAUAAAUUUAAUUUAAUAAAGUUAGCCACUUACGAGUAAAUAGUUCAAGAAUUUGGAAGUUCAAAUUUCAUGGAUUUUGAACAUCGUCUUUGGAUAGAGACUAAAAAUAUAUUUUUUAAUAAAAAAAAAA